This 64-nucleotide transfer RNA is filed under the name human gut metagenome. It matches the Rfam family "tRNA", at positions 5 to 66 of the family's 71-position model. Rfam says of the family: Transfer RNA (tRNA) molecules are approximately 80 nucleotides in length. The record is from RNAcentral. RNAcentral also lists the same sequence under 2 other names.
UCGUAGUGCAGUGGUUAACACGUCUGCCUGUCACGCAGAAGAUCGCGGGUUCAAUCCCCGUCGA